Long non-coding RNA from Drosophila montana, 617 nucleotides. RefSeq lists it as uncharacterized. Lineage: Eukaryota; Metazoa; Arthropoda; Insecta; Diptera; Drosophilidae. The record is from RefSeq and is a predicted model, not a curated record. The transcript has 3 exons.
AAUCGAGUUAAGCUUAGAAAACUAUGUCACAAAAUCAAUAUUGAUAGUCGAUAACUCUACGUCCCGAUCAAGAAUAGAUAUACUUGAUGGGCUCAGAGAUGCUUUCGUCUGCCUGUUAGCUUUCAACUGAAUUGCGGUCAAAGAUUGCUUUUUGGCUAUGUUUGCCCUUGUCUGACCAGCUGCAAAUUCUCAAAAAAAAUUUCUCAACAGCUGCAUUCACAUUUUUGACAGCCACAAGCUGUAUUCGAUGUGUGCGUGUGUGUACGUGUGUGUGUGUGUGGAGAGGGUCUAGAUGUUCAACAAUAACCACGAACAUUUCAAGGCAGCUGCAACACUUUGGGUAAUCGGAAAAAUUCCAGUGCAAUCGGUUGAUUCGCAAAUAGAGCAGCAGACGUCAGCGGCAGACCUUAAGCGGUCUGAGCUUAGUUGAGUCUGUUAUCAAUUGCCUUGGCAAGGACACACACUCACAUACACGCACAUACACACAAGCGCUCACAUAUAUUAACAGCAGACAUGGAAGAGCGUGGAAAAGAAGAAGUUGACACUGUGCAUACCCUGGCGGGCGUGAAAAAAUAAUAAAACAUAAAUGCCAUUUGACCUUGUGUCGCGCGCAGAAU